This 253-nucleotide ribosomal RNA is filed under the name uncultured bacterium. RNAcentral's name for it is "partial 16S ribosomal RNA". It matches the Rfam family "Bacterial small subunit ribosomal RNA", at positions 524 to 776 of the family's 1533-position model. The record is from RNAcentral.
UACGGAGGAUGCAAGCGUUAUCCGGAAUGAUUGGGCGUAAAGCGUCCGCAGGUGGCUGUGUAAGUCUGCUGUUAAAGAGUGAGGCUCAACCUCAUAAAGGCAGUGGAAACUACAUGGCUAGAGUGCGUUCGGGGCAGAGGGAAUUCCUGGUGUAGCGGUGAAAUGCGUAGAGAUCAGGAAGAACACCGGUGGCGAAAGCGCUCUGCUAGGCCGCAACUGACACUGAGGGACGAAAGCUAGGGGAGCGAACGGG